Molecule: small nuclear RNA, 107 nt
Organism: Dipodomys ordii (Ord's kangaroo rat)
Lineage: Eukaryota; Metazoa; Chordata; Mammalia; Rodentia; Heteromyidae
Source: Ensembl
GUGCUCGCUUCAGCAGCACAUAUAUUAAAACUGGAACGAUACAGAGAAGGUUAGCAUGGCCCCUGCGCAAGGAUGACACACAAAUUCGUGAAGCGUUCCAUAUUUAA